This 296-nucleotide long non-coding RNA is filed under the name Canis lupus familiaris (dog). Its description in RNAcentral is "lncRNA (ENSCAFG00805014072.1, ENSCAFG00845020508.1)". The record is from RNAcentral. Lineage: Eukaryota; Metazoa; Chordata; Mammalia; Carnivora; Canidae.
GAGACCCAUAUGGAAAUGCCAACAUCUUUCUCCUAAUAAAACAAACUAGCAAAUGUGUAUGGAGAGGAUAGGAAAACAACACAGAAGGUAGGUACCUUUACCUACAUUCUUCCUUUUUCAUAUUCCUUAUUGGAGAACAUCACAGUAUUGGUGAUUUUGAAGAUAUUAUAAGGUAACUAUCUGUAUGUCUGUCUCUCUCAGAGAGAGAGGCAGUGUGAGCUCCUAGAAAUCAGGAGCAACAUUUUUUUUUAACUGCUCUUCCCCACAGGGUGCCUAACUUAGAAUCUUGCUUAAAU